UACGGGGGGAGCAAGCGUUGUUCGGAUUUACUGGGCGUAAAGGGCGCGUAGGCGGCGCAACAAGUCACUUGUGAAAUCUCCGGGCUUAACUCGGAGCGGCCAAGUGAUACUGUCGUGCUAGAGUGCGGAAGGGGCAACUGGAAUUCUCGGUGUAGCGGUGAAAUGCGUAGAUAUCGAGAGGAACACCUGCAGCGAAGGCGGGUUGCUGGGCCGACACUGACGCUGAGGCGCGAAAGCCAGGGGAGCGAACGGG
Molecule: ribosomal RNA, 253 nt
Filed under: uncultured bacterium
Lineage: Bacteria
Description: partial 16S ribosomal RNA
Rfam family: Bacterial small subunit ribosomal RNA
Source: RNAcentral